AUUGAACGCUGGCGGAAUGCUUUACACAUGCAAGUCGAACGGCAGCACGGACUUCGGUCUGGUGGCGAGUGGCGAACGGGUGAGUAAUGUAUCGGAACGUGCCCAGUCGUGGGGGAUAACGUAGUGAAAAUUACGCUAAUACCGCAUACGAUCUAUGGAUGAAAGCGGGGGAUCGCAAGACCUCGCUCGAUUGGAGCGGCCGAUAUCAGAUUAGGUAGUUGGUGGGGUAAAGGCCCACCAAGCCAACGAUCUGUAGCUGGUCUGAGAGGACGACCAGCCAAACUGGAACUGAGACACGGUCCAGACUCCUACGGGAGGCAGCAGUGGGGAAUUUUGGACAAUGGGCGAAAGCCUGAUCCAGCCAUUCCGCGUGUAGGAUGAAGGCCCUCGGGUUGUAAACUGCUUUUGUACAGAACGAAAAGGUUUCUACUAAUACUAGGAGCUCAUGACGGUACUGUAAGAAUAAGCACCGGCUAACUACGUGCCAGCCGCCGCGGUAA
RNAcentral lists this ribosomal RNA (500 nucleotides) under uncultured bacterium. Its description in RNAcentral is "partial 16S ribosomal RNA". It matches the Rfam family "Bacterial small subunit ribosomal RNA", at positions 30 to 523 of the family's 1533-position model. The record is from RNAcentral.